GAGAAAACAGGGUAAUAAAAACAAAGUAAAAAAUGAUAGGGAGUUUGGUAUAAUUCUUUGACAGCAUGGGAAAAAUACUCGAAUUCUAUGCAAAAAGGAAAUUUUGUAUAUAAAAAGAGUAAAAAAUUAUAUAUGGAAAUUAAAAAUAACUAUGCUUACAUAGUAGAAACUCUAACUUUGAAAAUUUACUUGACGUUGAUAUCACAAUUUGCGUUACACUUUGAGAAAUUUAAAAUGCUUGAUGUGAUUUUGUGCUUCUUAAAUUUAACAAUUUUAAUUAUACAUACUUUCGUAUAAAAUGCGGUUUACAAACAAUAAAAUAUUAUAGAAAAUAAAGUAAACAGUCCGAAAUAAAGAGGAAAAAGUCAAAUCUAUAAUGCUACAAAAUGCAUGUAGUUUAAACAAUUAUUUCCAGAGUAAGUAAAUGAAGAUUUACAGUGCAUUGCUUGAGAAAGUGCUUUGCAGCAUGGGAAUAUUUGCUCGUCAGGUAGGCGCUUAUCCCCCAUGUUUUUGAAGUAAGUUUCACUCGAUAGAUCUAUCGAAAAAUGUCUUUAUAUUAAGUACUUUGUGUGAAAUAAAACAUAGUAAAAAUAAUUUUUCUCUUAACAAUUUUCACGAUUAUGAAAAAGAUUAAAUGUACUUCCGAAAGUAUAUUUCACAUGUUGUAUAAAGCAGUAAAUAUUUUAACCUAUCUGGGUAUUUUUACAAAAAGAAUAUAAAUAUAUACUUCUUUUGAACUUAUUUUUACCCAAAAAUUUCUUGAAAAAUCAUUAUGAAAUAGGGAAAAUUUGAUAUGUUUAAAUAAAAACGUUUUGUGCAUCCUGUAACGACGCAGCGUCCAUGACGCGUCACUAGUUGUGAUCGACAUCUCAAGACGACAGCAUCCAUGUAGUUUUUGUGAAGUGAGAAAUAUUUAUUAUAAUCUUCCUUCCGGUGAAUUAAUUUCAAGCUGAUUGAAUACUUGAAAAAUAACGCCAUUACUAUUUCAAAAAAUAUAGAUGUCUUGGUUUAAAUGCUGAUCCAGAUUUGAUAAACAUUGAAUUCAACUAUGUAUUUUUCCAAAUAAGGGAAAUAAUUUGUUCCACAUUUGGAAAGAUAUUCGCCAGGAUAUUGCACUUUUGCUAAGAAGCAAAUUGAAAAGUAAUGAAGACAAAGAGUCAAUUUACAAUAUUGAAGAAUUGUCAGAAGAGCAACAAGAUGCAGUGGUUCUUUACUUACUGCCGAAGCUUAUAAGACCAUCAUUUUCGAAAUACGGAGAAGAUCCAAGGGCCAAAAAAUCAGACAAGUACAGCGAUUCAUCUGAAAAUACUUCAAAAUCUACGUGCAAUGAUAUACAAGAAUCGUUUAUUUAUGUUUUCGAAAUAUUUUUGAAAUAUAUAGAGAAUUUAUAAAAAUUG
Molecule: long non-coding RNA, 1397 nt
Organism: Leptopilina boulardi
Lineage: Eukaryota; Metazoa; Arthropoda; Insecta; Hymenoptera; Figitidae
Exons: 4
Source: RefSeq, a predicted model, not a curated record